Molecule: ribosomal RNA, 498 nt
Filed under: uncultured Glomus
Lineage: Eukaryota; Fungi; Glomeromycota; Glomeromycetes; Glomerales; Glomeraceae
Description: SSU rRNA
Rfam family: Eukaryotic small subunit ribosomal RNA
Source: RNAcentral
CCAAUAGCGUAUAUUAAAGUUGUUGCAGUUAAAAAGCUCGUAGUUGAAUUUCGGGGUUAGUAGGUUGGUCAUGCCUCUGGUAUGUACUGGUCUCACUGAUUCCUCCUUCCUGAUGAGCCGUAAUGCCAUUAAUUUGGUGUUGCGGGGAAUUUGGACUGUUACUUUGAAAAAAUUAGAGUGUUUAAAGCAAGCUAACGCUUGAAUACAUUAGCAUGGAAUAAUGAAAUAGGACGUUCGAUCCUAUUUUGUUGGUUUCUAGGAUUGACGUAAUGAUUAAUAGGGAUAUUUGGGGGCAUUAGUAUUCAAUUGUCAGAGGUGAAAUUCUUGGAUUUAUUGAAGACUAACUACUGCGAAAGCAUUUGCCAAGGAUGUUUUCAUUAAUCAAGAACGAAAGUUAGGGGAUCGAAGACGAUCAGAUACCGUCGUAGUCUUAACCAUAAACUAUGCCGACUAGGGAUCGGAUGAUCUCACUUAUUAUGUGUCACUCGGCACCUUACG